UAAAAGGUGACAAGUAGGGAAGGGAGACAAAGAAUACAAAGAAGAAAAAUUCCUAUAGGGUGGUCAGGGAAGGCUUCAGUGAGGAGCUGACGAUUGAGUACAAUCUUCCUAGAUAGGAAAUGUUUAGGCAAACUCCUUAUUCUUUUGGACUCGUAAAAUAACAGCAGUAAUAGUAAUAAUAAUAGAUAAGUCUAUUUAAAGUGUUUCCUCUGUACCUUUUAAAGGUCUUUAUACACAUGAAACUCAAGCUGCAUAAUUCUAUGAAAAAGGGACUAUCAAUAACCCCAUUUUACAGAGUAGAAAACAGAGGCAGAGGAAAGUGAAGUGGGUUUGCCUAAGGCUUCACAGUUAACCACUUAGGAAGGCAGGUAGACUCCAGAGCCCGCCUCUUUCUUGUCAGCCCUAAAAGGGGUGGUCUUGAAGCAAGUUCUCUUCAGUCCUUCUCGGUUUCAAUGAGGAAAACCAAGAGGAAGUGUCUGCAAGCCCGUGGCUUGUGAUUUAUCUGGGUGGAUUCUUUACCACUGCACCACCUGAGCUUCCCCACUGGAUGUGAGGCCAGUCCUAAAAAGCGACUUUUCUCUUUGGGCAGAAAGAAGCAAACUUGUUUUACAAGUUUAGGUGGCUAGAAAGAGGAAUAAUCAACAUCAACAAACCGAAAGUAGUCUCCAGCUGGUUUGACUUCCUAAUCACAUUGGAUGUACAUCAUCUUGACCAGGUGGGAAACCAUUGUGGAAGGCGAGCACUCACAUGGUAGAGAAGGAAGAGCCUGGAAGGCGGAGCACAGACAGCUGGAUGGAGCUCAGUUCAAACACAGAGAUGGAAACUCCAAAUGAAGACAUGAGUAUUUUAAUAGUCUGUCAAGAACAUUAAAACUCCUCCAAGGGGUGCUUCAGACCUGGAACUCCUGGCAUCAGCCCGAGUCCAGGCUGUCAGAACAGCCUCUGAAACCUGGCUUUGGAGACUCUGGGGAGAAGCAGGACAACUCCCAUGUGGGAACUGUCUUGUGGAAAAACUGGUUUCUGGCAGCAGCAUCUGACCCCACGUCAAACAUUUGCUGCUCUCCUUCAAAAAAAGAAAAAAAAGGGGGGUGUGAGGG
This is a long non-coding RNA of Bubalus bubalis (water buffalo), 1096 nucleotides long. RefSeq lists it as uncharacterized. The record is from RefSeq and is a predicted model, not a curated record. The transcript has 4 exons. NCBI's taxonomy places the organism in Eukaryota, Metazoa, Chordata, Mammalia, Artiodactyla, Bovidae.